RNAcentral lists this ribosomal RNA (397 nucleotides) under Clostridium sp. enrichment culture. RNAcentral's name for it is "bacterial SSU rRNA". It matches the Rfam family "Bacterial small subunit ribosomal RNA", at positions 975 to 1375 of the family's 1533-position model. Lineage: Bacteria; Bacillati; Bacillota; Clostridia; Eubacteriales; Clostridiaceae. The record is from RNAcentral.
CUAGACUUGACAUCUCCUGCAUUACCCUUAAUCGGGGAAGCCCUUCGGGGCAGGAAGACAGGUGGUGCAUGGUUGUCGUCAGCUCGUGUCGUGAGAUGUUGGGUUAAGUCCCGCAACGAGCGCAACCCUUAUUUUUAGUUGCUACCAUUCAGUUGAGCACUCUAAAGAGACUGCCCGGGUUAACCGGGAGGAAGGUGGGGAUGACGUCAAAUCAUCAUGCCCCUUAUGUCUAGGGCUACACACGUGCUACAAUGGUGAGAACAAAGAGACGCGAGACCGCGAGGUGGAGCAAAUCUCACAAAACUCAUCCCAGUUCGGAUUGCAGGCUGAAACUCGCCUGCAUGAAGCCGGAGUUGCUAGUAAUCGCGAAUCAGCAUGUCGCGGUGAAUACGUUCCC